RNAcentral lists this ribosomal RNA (468 nucleotides) under uncultured bacterium. Its description in RNAcentral is "partial 16S ribosomal RNA". It matches the Rfam family "Bacterial small subunit ribosomal RNA", at positions 28 to 507 of the family's 1533-position model. The record is from RNAcentral.
GACGAACGCUGGCGGCGUGCUUAACACAUGCAAGUCGAACGGACAGGCCCUGCUUUUGUUGGUUUCUCGAGUGGCGAACGGGUGAGUAACACGUGAGUAACCUGCCCCUGACUGUGGGAUAACUUCAGGAAACUGCGGCGCAUACCGGAUAUGAGCUCCUGCUGCAUGGUGGGGGUUGGAAAGUUUCGGCGGUGGUGGCUGGACUCGCGGCUUAUCAGCUUGUUGGUGUGGUAGUGGCUUACCAAGGCUUUGACGGGUAGCCUGCCUGGGAGGGUGACCGGCGACAUUGGGACUGAGAUACGGCCCAGAAUGCUACGGGAGGCAGCAGUGGAGAAUAUUGCACAAUGGGCGGAAGCCUGAUGAAGAGACGCUGCGUGCGGGAUGAUGGCUUUCGGGUUGUAAACCGCUUUCGCCUGUGACGAAGCGUGAGUGACGGUAAUGGGUAAAGAAGCACCGGCUAACUACGUG